RNAcentral lists this long non-coding RNA (215 nucleotides) under Elaeis guineensis (African oil palm). Its description in RNAcentral is "long non-coding RNA (EGUI_LNC043196)". The record is from RNAcentral. Lineage: Eukaryota; Viridiplantae; Streptophyta; Magnoliopsida; Arecales; Arecaceae.
CAUCAAGAGUCAAAAGUCAAUGGCAGCCUAAUUUGACACAUCUCUUAUCGAGGGACAAUCCACAAACUGACCUUCACUUUUUAAUGGAUCAAACUACACCUAUUGGAAAGCUCAGAUGAGAAUUUUUAUUCAAGCACUUGAUUAUGAUAUGUAGAGUAUCAUAAUAAAUAGACCACAUACACCCUCUAAAUUGAUUGAUGGUGUGUCUCUCCCUA